AGGACGAACGCUGGCGGCGUGCUUAACACAUGCAAGUCGAACGGAAAGGCCCUUCGGGGUACUCGAGUGGCGAACGGGUGAGUAACACGUGAGCAAUCUGCCCCUAGCUCUGGGAUAGCUCCGGGAAACCGGGAUUAAUACCAGAUAUUACUACGGCCGACAUCAGCUGUGGUGGAAAGAAUUUCGGCUAGGGAUGAGCUCGCGGCCUAUCAGCUUGUUGGUGGGGUAAAGGCCCACCAAGGCGACGACGGGUAGCCGGCCUGAGAGGGCGACCGGCCACACUGGGACUGAGACACGGCCCAGACUCCUACGGGAGGCAGCAGUGGGGAAUAUUGCGCAAUGGGCGAAAGCCUGACGCAGCGACGCCGCGUGCGGGAUGAAGGCCUCGGGUUGUAACCGCUUUCAGCAGGGACGAAGCGAAAGUGACGGUACCUGCAGAAGAAGCGCCGGCUAACUACGCGCCAGCAGCCGC
Molecule: ribosomal RNA, 472 nt
Filed under: uncultured bacterium
Lineage: Bacteria
Description: SSU rRNA
Rfam family: Bacterial small subunit ribosomal RNA
Source: RNAcentral